GUGGUGUCAGGGUGUUUAGCAGGGUGUGGUGUCAGAUAUUUUGCAGGGCAUGGAGUCAAGGAGUUUAGCAGGGUGUGGUGUCAGAUAUUUUGCAGGGCAUGGAGUCAAGGAGUUUAGCAGGGUUUGGUAUCAGGGUGUUUAGCAGGGUUUGGUGUCAGGAGCUUUUCAGGGUGUUGUGUCAGUUAGUUUUGUACUAUGUGGUGUCAGGGUUGGUUGGCAGAGUUUGGUGUAAGGGUAUUUGCAUGAGUUUGGUGUGAGGAUUUUAUCAUGGUUUGUGUCAAGGAGUUUUGCAAUGUUCGGUGUCAGGGUGUUUAGUAGGAUGUGGCAUCAUAUAGUUUAGCAGGGUUUGUUGUCAGGGAGUUUAGCAGGGUGUGGUGUCAGGGAGUUUAGCAGGAUGUGGUGUCAGGUGGUUUAGCAGGAUGUGGUGUCAGGUAUUUUAGCAGGAUGUGGUGUCAGGUAGUUUAGCAGGAUGUGGUGUCAGGUAGUUUAGCAGGAUGUGGUGUCAGGUAGUUUAGCAGGAUGUGGUGUCAGGUGGUUUAGCAGAAUGUGGUGUCAGGUGGUUUAGCAGGAUGUGGUGUCAGGGGGUUUAGCAGGAUGUGGUGUCAG
This is a long non-coding RNA of Oncorhynchus tshawytscha (Chinook salmon), 606 nucleotides long. Lineage: Eukaryota; Metazoa; Chordata; Actinopteri; Salmoniformes; Salmonidae. The record is from Ensembl.